Molecule: ribosomal RNA, 405 nt
Filed under: uncultured bacterium
Lineage: Bacteria
Description: bacterial SSU rRNA
Rfam family: Bacterial small subunit ribosomal RNA
Source: RNAcentral
GGGGAAUAUUGCACAAUGGGCGGAAGCCUGAUGCAGCGACGCCGCGUGGGGGAUGAAGGCCUUCGGGUUGUAAACCUCUUUCGCUAGGGAAGAAGCGCAAGUGACGGUACCUGGAGAAGAAGCACCGGCUAACUACGUGCCAGCAGCCGCGGUAAUACGUAGGGUGCGAGCGUUGUCCGGAAUUAUUGGGCGUAAAGAGCUUGUAGGCGGUUUGUCGCGUCUGCGGUGAAAACUCACAGCUUAACUGUGGGGGUGCCGUGGGUACGGGCAGGCUAGAGUGUGGUAGGGGAGACUGGAAUUCCUGGUGUAGCGGUGAAAUGCGCAGAUAUCAGGAGGAACACCGAUGGCGAAGGCAGGUCUCUGGGCCAUAACUGACGCUGAGAAGCGAAAGCAUGGGGAGCGAAC